This is a long non-coding RNA of Clupea harengus (Atlantic herring), 2873 nucleotides long. NCBI's taxonomy places the organism in Eukaryota, Metazoa, Chordata, Actinopteri, Clupeiformes, Clupeidae. The record is from Ensembl.
AGGUAGAGAAGUCGUUUAGUAAUCAGAAAGUUGCUAGUUCGAUUCCCUGUCGAAGCGUCCUUGAGCAAGACACUGAACCCCUAAUUGCUCCUGAUGUGCAGUGUGCCAUCAGUGUAAAUGUAAAAAAAAUGUGUAUACAUCCUUGUAAGUCGCUUUGGAUAAAAGCGUCUGCUAAAUGACUAAAUGUAAAUGUUAACAUAAAAACCUCCAAACAAACACAUGGAAUCCCUUAAGAAAAAUCUUUAUUGGUAUGCUUUGGUCCAUUGCUUUUACACGAUUAUGUCAAGAAUCCUCAAGAACAAAAAACCCAGUUCUCUGUGUGGGUCUUUUAACAUUGAGUCCGCAUGUGCACAGAGAUACUCAUCUUCACUGUCGAGUUCAUAGACUGAUUAACGGAAAUGACAUUGUUUGAAAUGACAGUCCUACUCUCAAAGUCAAGAUUACAAGUACUGAAAAAGCAAUUUGGGUGCAACAGUAAAGGUAAGUGUUAUUAAUUGUAAAACAGUUAACAGUUGAAAAAGCUCAUUAGUUUUGCUCUGCAGUUUAUUAUCGUCAAUCAACAAAAAUGAUAAAUGAAGACAUGAAUUGCAUAUUAAUCGCACCCUAAAAUCGCUUCAGUGUGGCAACUCAGUUCAGAUAAUUUAUUUUGAAAUCCCAGCAGCUGCAAUGGGAAACAAAAUCAAUAAUUUAUGCUUUCUGCAGAAAACACACAACAGAGUCCAGUUUUUUCCAAUAUAUUGAAGUUUUCACGAGUGCCUUGAAUACUAAUCCACUGGCACAUGAAAAGAACAGGAAGUGAGGUCAUGAGCCCCACAGACUUAGAUUGGGAUGUGGCACUGAACAAGAUAAUAUCACUUUUAAGGCACUGAAAACAUGUAUAGAUAAAUUCAGUACUCUUACAUUUAGGUAUUGGACCAAAUAAACACAAAUAUAAAAUGGUGCCGAUUAUACAACAAAAGUGGAGAAAGAACAUUCCUAAUUCUAAAUUGUUCAAAUAACCAUUCUCUAAAACAUUCAACAACAUAAUUUUUGUAAUAUGCUAAUAUGUGUUACAUUAUCAACUGUACCAACCCCACAACACAAAGAGAGUAUACAAGAAGUAACAUUUCAGUGAGGUUGUUGUCUCGAUAGACAUUGUAAACAAACAUGUGUGCCGUUGUUCAAGAUAAAUGCAAUUGCACACCACUUCCAUGGUAUUUUCUGUUUAAAAAAUAAUAUUGUUCACAUGAUCUUCAUUACUACUGAAUAACUUUUCAAGAAAAGCAACUAGCCAUUUCAGUUCAUUUGUGACAGACACAUGGAAUGACGACCCGUAGUCUUAACUUUAUAUCUCCUUGAGGUUUCCUUCAUUCUCCCUUCUUCUUCUUGUCAUUCAUUCAUUAAUGCAUUCAAAUAGUCCUGGGAGUUAAAUAUUUAUUGAAAUAUAGGAUUAGGAAUCGAACCGUGAGGGAAUUUAGCUUAAAUUUUACAUGGGGUCUAUUUCAGCUAACCAAGUUCAAAAUGUCUGCCUCUAGGUGUGUGAUUUUUUCGUCAAUAAUUGGUGAAGUUAUGCCUAGCGCAAAAGCGACGAGCACGAAUGCCACAUCACAGCUCUUUGAAUCAUUGAUGAUGACUGAAUCAAAAUGUUCAACUUGACCUGACAGAAUUCGUUUUUAAUUAAGCAGCGAAAAUGACCGUGAAGUAAACAAGAUGCAUAUGGAAUGUCUCUCUUGAAUGUACUUUUCUAACAAAGUCACUUGACUCUUACUGUGCAAAAAGACAAAUAUACCAGUGAACUAUGACAGAACACAAUGAUCUGUGUGUGUGGUUUUCCCUUUUUUUUUUAUCAUGCAGAUUAGCAGUUUUUCUAUCCAAUCAAAAGGUCAAUACUAUCGGUCAACACUAUAGCCAUUCAUUGACUCUCAACAACAACAACAACGUCAGGGAUGCUUAUUAAAAAAAAAAAGCAUGGAAGCACAAAAAACUUAGUGGCACAAAAAACUGCUACAAAAGUUAUGCUACCAGUCGAUGCCAAAGGCCACAGAAGACCUACGAUCCUGCUAGCUUUUAGAAGGUUCACACACACACACACACACACACACACACACGCGCACACACACACACACACACACACACACACACACACAAUGAUCCUGCUCGCUUUUAGAAGGUUCACACACACACACACACACACACACACACACACACACACACACACACACACACACACACACACACACACACACACACACAAUGAUCCUGCUAGCUUUUAGAAGGUUCACACACACACACACGCACACACACAUAUACACACACACACACACACACACACACACACACACACAAUGAUCCUGCUAGCUUUUAGAAGGUUCACACACACACACACACGCACACACACGCACACACACGCACACACACACACACACGCACACACACGCACACACACGCACACACACACACACACACACACACACACACACACACACAUAUACACACACACACACACACACACACACACACAAUGAUCCUGCUAGCUUUUAGAAGGUUUUCACUGCAUAAAAUGUACAAAAAUGCAGGCUGACUUUGGUACCAAAGGCCAGUGCCUAUGACACACUAAGCAUCACACAAUCCACCAAUCCACAAUCUCUCACAAUGAAAUGUUGACACAUUUGUUUUAAUGAUUAUCAAAUGCAUCUGCGUUGGGUAGAUCCUGUAUUUGGCAGACAAUCCCCCCCACCUAAGACCAUCUCUGGCUCCCGAUGCGAUCAAUACGCUACAUAUUCUGGAACAGUCUUAAGAGGAAAUACUGAUGAUGAAACUAAAGACUAAUGGCUUGAAUGUGCAAAAAAUGCCUCCCCUUUAAUGGCCAAUUCAGGGUUGGGGGGGGGAGUUAA